Molecule: ribosomal RNA, 1346 nt
Filed under: uncultured bacterium
Lineage: Bacteria
Description: bacterial SSU rRNA
Rfam family: Bacterial small subunit ribosomal RNA
Source: RNAcentral
GACGAACGCUGGCGGCGUGCUUAACACAUGCAAGUCGAACGGAAAGGCCCUGCUUUUGUGGGGUGCUCGAGUGGCGAACGGGUGAGUAACACGUGAGUAACCUGCCCUUGACUUUGGGAUAACUUCAGGAAACUGGGGCUAAUACCGGAUAGGAGCUCCUGCUGCGUGGUGGGGGUUGGAAAGUUUCGGCGGUUGGGGAUGGACUCGCGGCUUAUCAGCUUGUUGGUGGGGUAGUGGCUUACCAAGGCUUUGACGGGUAGCCGGCCUGAGAGGGUGACCGGCCACAUUGGGACUGAGAUACGGCCCAGACUCCUACGGGAGGCAGCAGUGGGGAAUAUUGCACAAUGGGCGGAAGCCUGAUGCAGCAACGCCGCGUGCGGGAUGACGGCCUUCGGGUUGUAAACCGCUUUCGCCUGUGACGAAGCGUGAGUGACGGUAAUGGGUAAAGAAGCACCGGCUAACUACGUGCCAGCAGCCGCGGUGAUACGUAGGGUGCGAGCGUUGUCCGGAUUUAUUGGGCGUAAAGGGCUCGUAGGUGGUUGAUCGCGUCGGAAGUGUAAUCUUGGGGCUUAACCCUGAGCGUGCUUUCGAUACGGGUUGACUUGAGGAAGGUAGGGGAGAAUGGAAUUCCUGGUGGAGCGGUGGAAUGCGCAGAUAUCAGGAGGAACACCAGUGGCGAAGGCGGUUCUCUGGGCCUUUCCUGACGCUGAGGAGCGAAAGCGUGGGGAGCGAACAGGCUUAGAUACCCUGGUAGUCCACGCUGUAAACGGUGGGUACUAGGUGUGGGGUCCAUUCCACGGGUUCCGUGCCGUAGCUAACGCUUUAAGUACCCCGCCUGGGGAGUACGGCCGCAAGGCUAAAACUCAAAGGAAUUGACGGGGCCCCGCACAAGCGGCGGAGCAUGCGGAUUAAUUCGAUGCAACGCGUAGAACCUUACCUGGGUUUGACAUGGAUCGGGAGUGCUCAGAGAUGGGUGUGCCUCUUUUGGGGUCGGUUCACAGGUGGUGCAUGCCUGUCGUCAGCUCGUGUCGUGAGAUGUUGGGUUAAGUCCCGCAACGAGCGCAACCCUUGUUCACUGUUGCCAGCACGUUAUGGUGGGGACUCAGUGGAGACCGCCGGGGUCAACUCGGAGGAAGGUGGGGAUGACGUCAAGUCCUCAUGCCCCUUAUGUCCAGGGCUUCACGCAUGCUACAAUGGCUGGUACAGAGAGUGGCGAGCCUGUGAGGGUGAGCGAAUCUCGGAAAGCCGGUCUCAGUUCGGAUUGGGGUCUGCAACUCGACCUCAUGAAGUCGGAGUCGCUAGUAAUCGCAAAUCAGCAACGCUGCGGUGAAUACGUUCCCGGGGCU